This 915-nucleotide unclassified non-coding RNA is filed under the name Hevea brasiliensis (rubber tree). The record is from RNAcentral. Lineage: Eukaryota; Viridiplantae; Streptophyta; Magnoliopsida; Malpighiales; Euphorbiaceae.
ACACAAAUAGGGUGGUUGGAACAUUUGGAUAUAUGGCACCUGAAUAUGCUACAGAUGGGAUUUUCUCUGGCAAAUCUGAUGUUUUUAGUUUUGGUAUCAUAAUGCUUGAGAUAAUAAGUGGUAAGAAAAGUAGAGGGUAUCAUCAACUAGACCAUAGUCAUAACCUUAUUGGAUAUGUAAGUAUUCAGAUUUAUUCUUUGCUAUUUCUUUCCACAUCUGUUAUGAAUCAAUAAAAGGGUUCUGAUGCUUUAGGCUUGGAGAUUAUGGAAAGAAGGCAAGUCGUUGGAAUUGAUUGAUCCAGUAUUAGGAGAGUCGUAUCAUCUAUUGGAAGUGAUGCGAUGCUACCAUAUUAGCCUCUUAUGUGCGCAACAUCAUGCUGAGGACAGGCCAAGUAUGGCACUUGUGCUUUUGAUGUUAGGUAGUGAGACUCCAUUGCCUGAGCCCAAAGAACCUGGUUUUUUUAAGGACAAAGGUCGAGUUGAUGAAGGAUCUUCAUCGAGCAAAAUUGAAUCAUCCACAACCAAUGAAAUGUCAAUCUCAUUGUUGGAAGCUCGAUAGAAGAUCAUUUAACUACAUGCCAUGAGCUAUUUUUCUUGUAUUGGGUGUCACUGAUUCAUGGACCCUUUCUAUAUUGUGUUUCUAUAUCUGUGCAAACAAAUUUAUUCCACGAUUUCAAAGUUCAGCAUGUAUAUAAUUGCUGCAUUGUGUUUAGCUAACAAAUUAAUCGAAGCUGCAACUAUUAAUUUAGUUUGGUGGGAAAGGUUUGGUUUUUGUGCUACGGCAAGUGAAGUCUUUAGGCUUUAUCAUUCAACAAAUAAGAGAUAUUACCUUAUGUGCCAUCUUAAAAUUCCAUGCAUUAUAUCAAGGUAUCAAACACAGGGCUGGUCAAUAUAAAACCAUAAUUGCAGAUUGGGC